This 508-nucleotide ribosomal RNA is filed under the name Sporosarcina saromensis. RNAcentral's name for it is "bacterial SSU rRNA". It matches the Rfam family "Bacterial small subunit ribosomal RNA", at positions 36 to 524 of the family's 1533-position model. The record is from RNAcentral. Lineage: Bacteria; Bacillati; Bacillota; Bacilli; Caryophanales; Caryophanaceae.
CCCUGGCGGGCGUGCCCUAAUACAUGCAGUCGAGCGGAUUGAAGGGAGCUUGCUCCCUGAUAUUAGCGGCGGACGGGUGAGUAACACGUGGGCAACCUGCCCUGCAGAUGGGGAUAACUCCGGGAAACCGGGGCUAAUACCGAAUAAUCGGUUCUUCCGCAUGGAAGAACUCUGAAAGACGGUUUCGGCUGUCACUGCAGGAUGGGCCCGCGGCGCAUUAGCUAGUUGGUGGGGUAACGGCCUACCAAGGCGACGAUGCGUAGCCGACCUGAGAGGGUGAUCGGCCACACUGGGACUGAGACACGGCCCAGACUCCUACGGGAGGCAGCAGUAGGGAAUCUUCCACAAUGGACGAAAGUCUGAUGGAGCAACGCCGCGUGAGCGAAGAAGGUUUUCGGAUCGUAAAGCUCUGUUGCGAGGGAAGAACAAGUACGAGAGUAACUGCUCGUACCUUGACGGUACCUCGUUAGAAAGCCACGGCUAACUACGUGCCAGCAGCCGCGGUAAU